RNAcentral lists this long non-coding RNA (316 nucleotides) under Manacus vitellinus (golden-collared manakin). Its description in RNAcentral is "lncRNA (ENSMVIG00005014650.1)". Lineage: Eukaryota; Metazoa; Chordata; Aves; Passeriformes; Pipridae. The record is from RNAcentral.
CCGGCCACUGCGGUGGGGCCGGGAGCUGCAGCGUUCCCACAGGUGUCGGGGGAGAGGACACGGCUCUUCCAGCUGCACCAGACCUGUGGCAUAUUGCAGCAAUUUGAGGAACUGGUAGCCCCUGUGACAGAGCCCUACAGAAAUGUGACCAAAAAAAGGUAUCUCUGCCCUGAGCCAUUUCAAAUGGCUCUGCAAGUCAGGACCACUGAGGAGUCAAAUAUGCUGCACAGAACUUGAAGAUGGUGUUGGUCCAUACCCAGCAGGGAGAAUCUCAGUGUCCUGCAGCCACUACAAGAUGUCCAUCUCCAUGGUAAGU